AAUCAACGCUGGCGGCGUGCCUAACACAUGCAAGUCGAGCGGGAAAGGGGGCUUCGGUCCCUGAGUAUAGCGGCGGACGGGUGAGUAACACGUGGGUAAUUUGCCCUUGGGUGUGGAAUAACUCAGGGAAACUUGAGCUAAUACCGCAUGACAUCCCCUUCACACACGAGUUGGGGAUCAAAGCCGGGGACCCUUCGGGGCCUGGCGCCUGAGGAGAAGCCCGCGCCCGAUUAGCUAGUUGGGAGGU
Molecule: ribosomal RNA, 247 nt
Filed under: uncultured bacterium
Lineage: Bacteria
Description: partial 16S ribosomal RNA
Rfam family: Bacterial small subunit ribosomal RNA
Source: RNAcentral